UACGUAGGGGGCUAGCGUUGUCCGGAAUCAUUGGGCGUAAAGCGCGUGUAGGCGGUCCGGUAAGUCCGCUGUGAAAGUCGAGGGCUCAACCCUCGAAAGCCGGUGGAAACUGUCGGGCUAGAGUAUGGAAGAGGCGAGUGGAAUUCCUGGUGUAGCGGUGAAAUGCGCAGAUAUCAGGAGGAACACCAAUUGCGAAGGCAGCUCGCUGGGACGUUACUGACGCUGAGACGCGAAAGCGUGGGGAGCAAACAGGAUUAGAUACCCCGGUAGU
Molecule: ribosomal RNA, 271 nt
Filed under: uncultured bacterium
Lineage: Bacteria
Description: partial 16S ribosomal RNA
Rfam family: Bacterial small subunit ribosomal RNA
Source: RNAcentral